GACGAACGCUGGCGGCGUGCUUAACGCAUGCAAGUCGAACGGAAAGGCCCUGCUUGCAGGGUACUCGAGUGGCGAACGGGUGAGUAACACGUGGGUGAUCUGCCCUGCACUUCGGGAUAAGCCUGGGAAACUGGGUCUAAUACCGGAUAGGAGCCAUUUUUAGUGUGAUGGUUGGAAAGUUUUUUCGGUGUAGGAUGAGCUCGCGGCCUAUCAGCUUGUUGGUGGGGUAAUGGCCUACCAAGGCGGCGACGGGUAGCCGGCCUGAGAGGGUGGACGGCCACAUUGGGACUGAGAUACGGCCCAGACUCCUACGGGAGGCAGCAGGGGGGAAUAUUGCACAAGGGGCGGAAGCCUGAUGCAGCAACGCCGCGUGGGGGAUGACGGCCUUCGGGUUGUAAACUCCUUUCGCUAGGGACGAAGCUUUUUUGAAGGUAACGUGGAAAAAAACACCGGGCAAACUAGUG
Molecule: ribosomal RNA, 464 nt
Filed under: uncultured bacterium
Lineage: Bacteria
Description: partial 16S ribosomal RNA
Rfam family: Bacterial small subunit ribosomal RNA
Source: RNAcentral